CAGCCAUGCCGCGUGUAUGAAGAAGGCCUUCGGGUUGUAAAGUACUUUCAGCAGUGAGGAAGGUGGGUAUGGUUAAUAGCAUAUUCAUUUGACGUUAGCUGCAGAAGAAGCACCGGCUAACUCCGUGCCAGCAGCCGCGGUAAUACGGAGGGUGCGAGCGUUAAUCGGAAUUACUGGGCGUAAAGCGCAUGCAGGUGGUUUGUUAAGUCAGAUGUGAAAGCCCGGGGCUCAACCUCGGAAUUGCAUUUGAAAACUGGCAAACUAGAGUACUGUAGAGGGGGUAGAAUUUCAGGUGUAGCGGUGAAAUGCGUAGAGAUCUGAAGGAAUACCGGUGGCGAAGGCGGCCCCCUGGACAGAUACUGACACUCAGAUGCGAAAGCGUGGGGAGCAAACAGGAUUAGAUACCCUGGUAG
RNAcentral lists this ribosomal RNA (413 nucleotides) under uncultured bacterium. Its description in RNAcentral is "bacterial SSU rRNA". It matches the Rfam family "Bacterial small subunit ribosomal RNA", at positions 389 to 793 of the family's 1533-position model. The record is from RNAcentral.